UCCCAGGUGGCUCAGUAAAGAAUCUGCCUGCAAAGUGGGAGACCUGGGUUCAAUCCCUGGUUUGGGAA
RNAcentral lists this transfer RNA (68 nucleotides) under Bos taurus (domestic cattle). It matches the Rfam family "tRNA". Rfam says of the family: Transfer RNA (tRNA) molecules are approximately 80 nucleotides in length. Their secondary structure includes four short double-helical elements and three loops (D, anti-codon, and T loops). The record is from Rfam by way of RNAcentral. Lineage: Eukaryota; Metazoa; Chordata; Mammalia; Artiodactyla; Bovidae. RNAcentral also lists the same sequence under 2 other names.